CCUACGGGAGGCAGCAGUGAGGAAUAUUGGUCAAUGGACGAGAGUCUGAACCAGCCAAGUAGCGUGAAGGAUGACUGCUCUCUGGUUUGUAAGCUUCUUUUAUAAAGGAAUAAAACGAGGCACGUGUGCCUUUUUGCAUGUACUUGUUGAUUAACGAUCGGCUAAUUCUGUGUCAGCAGCCGCGGUAACACGGAGGAUCCGAGCGUUAUCCGGAUUUAUUGGGUUUAAAGGGAGCGUAGAUGGGUUGUUAAGUCAGUUGUGAAAGUUUGCGGCUCAACCGUAAAAUUGCAAUUGAUACUGGCAGUCUUGAGUACAGUUGAGGUAGGCGGAAUUCGUGGUGUAGCGGUGAAAUGCUUAGAUAUCACGAAGAACCCCGAUUGCGAAGGCAGCUUACUAAACUGUGACUGACAUUGAUGCUCGAAAGUGUGGGUAGCAAACAGGAUUAGAUACCCUUGUAGUC
RNAcentral lists this ribosomal RNA (460 nucleotides) under uncultured bacterium. Its description in RNAcentral is "partial 16S ribosomal RNA". It matches the Rfam family "Bacterial small subunit ribosomal RNA", at positions 338 to 795 of the family's 1533-position model. The record is from RNAcentral.